GGGGCCCGAAAUGAGGCCGCCACGCCCCAUCUGGCAGUGGCGACAACAUAUGAAAUAUCUGCAGCCCUGGCACUUUUAGAAAAAAAGUGGCUCCGAUCUGACCAAAUUUUGCACAGGCUGUCUGACGUGUCAAGUCUAAGACCAUCCUGAGCUGGGAUGUCCAUGCCGGCCCAAAGAAAUUCUAGACAUCUUGGAUAAAAUUUGACCACGUGACCUUAUUCUAGGCCUGGCCAACUACCUGUGUUCCAAAUUUGGGGUCUCUGGGACGUUUCUGUGAGAAGUUAUGGACUUUUGAAUGUUGGAAAAAUAUGUGUCCCAAUUGUCAAUUUUGACAUAAGGGACACCUGGCGACCUUUUGAAAUUUGGGCAGGUAUUUGGGCACCUUGGAAUGCACCCAGGGACACCAAAUUGAUGUCAGGUGUUCACUGUUACACCUAAUUUCAGGCACUGAAAGCUGCAGCCGUCGAACUGCUGUUUAAGGUGUAGGAAUCUGGCCAAAUGACCUCAAUGAGGCCUUCUGAACCGUGAGGGUCCAUUUGGGGAACUUUCUGACAAUUGAGUUGACAAAUGGAAUCAUGGUAGCAGUGGUCGGGGGAGGCUGAGGAGGCCCUGAUGGAGUGCUACAGGACAAUGGACUGGGAAAUGUUCCAACAGGAUCACGGUGACGACAUUGAGGGUCUGGCCCAAUGUGUCACUGACUACAUCAGGCAUGAAUGGGCCAGCAGGAGCAGCAGAGGGGACAAAGGACUGAGCCAACGUGUUAAACCAGUUUUUUCAACAGGUUUGACUCAACAGCGCUGGCUGGACCCCCCUCCUCCUCCACCUCCUCAAGUAGCAUCACCUCAGUUACCCCCCUCCACAUACCUCCCUGCUACACCAAAGGAUCACUCAGCAGCCCCAGGAGCUCCAUCAGCCACAGACUCAUCCGACCCCGCCUUAAAGAUCUUUGGAGGCUCAUUUGUGUCGUCAGCCAUCAGGCUCCACAACACCACAAACACCACGCAUGCCUUGUUGCUCAUUAAAGCUUCCCUCCAGUGUAUUUUGACAUUUCUAUAAUAUUUCAUCUUUUUCUGAGUCAUUUCCUUACAAUGUUGAUUAUCCACAUAGUUUGCCAAAUAUUUUUGACAAAUGGCUUAAUUUUGUGCUCAAAGUUGCAAAAAUUGCUUAGUUGCUAAAACGGAGUGGUGACGGGCUGGUGACAUAUAACUAUAGUAAUUCCAUAAGUCAUACGUCAUUCUCCAAGCUUGCGCACGCCAUCACGCCUCGUUAAGUCACCAUCAAAUCGAUAAACAUCGUUGUGAGCUAGUUAACCAAUUUAUCAUGUAUUUUACUUAGAAUUUACAGUAGGUAAUGUCUCUCUGUGUCAGUGUGUCUGAUUGUUGGUAAGUCUGUCUAGUUUAAUUAGCUAAGUUAACUAAGUUGUAGUUAGCCAGGUGUUGUUAGCUAGCAUAGGUAUUGCAGAAAGUUAGCUAACAGAGGGUCUAUUUUUUAGUUUCCUCCUCUUGGUUUAGUGUGCUGUUCAUUUUCAUUAUGGCAUCUGUGUGUUCGGUGUCUGUAAUCAGUGGUUGGAUGUCUAGGUUGGAGGAAAGAUGACAGAAAACGCGUCGCACUUUCACCUGCAACGGCCGUUUCACCAAUGCAUUGGCGAAGGCAAUGGUAUCAGAAGUCUGGAGCUGAGGAGCGAUGCCAUCAGCGUUGCUAAAACGAAAGAAAGGACCUGAAUCUGUGGUGGCCAGCCAAAUUUAAACAUCUGUACUCGACUGCAGCUUCUUCCACUCUAAUGGAGAUGUGAUGGUGAACCACGCUCAGAACAUCCAUGAACACAGCACGCUGGAACCAGUUACAACAUACCUUAUACGGUUUGUGGUUUAAAAAGAUUAGCGGCCGAGUCUUCAGUGGUGCUGGUUAGUGCCUGCUUUAAUUUGAUUUCAAUGCCUCCAGAAAUAAAAUAUUCUGUAGGUAAAUUUUCCCAGAUUGUGCAAAGAAUUAGAAUAAUUUUAUAAAUGGAAAUGUAUCACACCAACAUUUGUACUGAAGUAAAUUCUGUAAUAGUAAAGAUUCUGUUUUGAAACAGCCAUUUUGGAGAUUAAGACUAAAAACACAUGAACAAGACAUUUUACAAAUUACAAAAAAUAUUACUAUCUUCAUGAAUGUAUAAUUGCAUGGCUGUUUUACUGGACUGCAACAGUUUUAGCUUGGUGUACCUUAUUAACAGAAACUAGUAUUUAAUGUACAUGGAUAUUCUGUACAAACAAAAGCUAAUGCCACUUUUUAGUCACAAGCUGGUAGCGUUGGCUCACAAUAAAAGAAGAAUUUGGUCUUACAAA
Micropterus dolomieu (smallmouth bass) is the source of this 2327-nucleotide long non-coding RNA. RefSeq lists it as uncharacterized. The record is from RefSeq and is a predicted model, not a curated record. The transcript has 2 exons. NCBI's taxonomy places the organism in Eukaryota, Metazoa, Chordata, Actinopteri, Centrarchiformes, Centrarchidae.